This 23-nucleotide non-coding RNA is filed under the name Arabidopsis thaliana (thale cress). Lineage: Eukaryota; Viridiplantae; Streptophyta; Magnoliopsida; Brassicales; Brassicaceae. The record is from RNAcentral.
ACAAACCUCCAUCAUUUCGUCUG